AGUGAACGCUGGCGGUAGGCCUAACACAUGCAAGUCGAACGGCAGCACAGUAAGAGCUUGCUCUUACGGGUGGCGAGUGGCGGACGGGUGAGGAAUACAUCGGAAUCUACUUUUUCGUGGGGGGUAACGUAGGGAAACUUACGCUAAUACCGCAUACGACCUACGGGUGAAAGCAGGGGAUCUUCGGACCUUGCGCGAUUGAAUGAGCCGAUGUCGGAUUAGCUAGUUGGCGGGGUAAAGGCCCACCAAGGCGACGAUCCGUAGCUGGUCUGAGAGGAUGAUCAGCCACACUGGAACUGAGACACGGUCCAGACGCCUACGGGAGGCAGCAGUGGGGAAUAUUGGACAAUGGGCGCAAGCCUGAUCCAGCCAUACCGCGUGGGUGAAGAAGGCCUUCGGGUUGUAAAGCCCUUUUGUUGGGAAAGAAAAGCAGCAGGUUAAUACCCCGCUGUUCUGACGGUACCCAAAGAAUAAGCACCGGCUAACUUCGUG
RNAcentral lists this ribosomal RNA (492 nucleotides) under uncultured bacterium. RNAcentral describes it as "partial 16S ribosomal RNA". It matches the Rfam family "Bacterial small subunit ribosomal RNA", at positions 29 to 507 of the family's 1533-position model. The record is from RNAcentral.